This 253-nucleotide ribosomal RNA is filed under the name uncultured bacterium. RNAcentral describes it as "partial 16S ribosomal RNA". It matches the Rfam family "Bacterial small subunit ribosomal RNA", at positions 524 to 776 of the family's 1533-position model. The record is from RNAcentral.
UACGGAGGGUGCAAGCAUUGAUCGGAAUUACUGGGCGUAAAGGGCGCGUAGGCGGCCAGAUAAGUCAGAUGUGAAAUUCCGGGGCUCAACCCCGGAGCGGCAUUUGAAACUAUUUGACUUGAGUACAGUUAGGGUAAACGGAAUUCCACGUGUAGCGGUGAAAUGCGUAGAUAUGUGGAAGAACACCGGUGGUGAAGACGGUUUACUGGGCUGAAACUGACGCUGAGGCGCGAAAGCUAGGGGGGCAAACAGG